AAAACUCAAAAUCAAAGCUCAAUAAUCUCACACUUAUCUUUCAUAAUCCAUAUAAAAAGCAUCUCAAAGCUCAUAUAAUCAACAAUGACAUUUCAUGGAAUCUUUUAUAGAAACAAAAAUUCAGACAUGAGCUUUGAAGAACACGAAGCAACGAUCACAGGAACGUAGAAAUUAUCAAAAACAGAUAAAAAUCCAUACCUUAAUCAAGGAUCAAAGUGCCAAAACCUAGCUUGUUCUUUUCCUCC
This 245-nucleotide long non-coding RNA is filed under the name Gossypium barbadense (sea-island cotton). RNAcentral describes it as "long non-coding RNA (GBAR_LNC011464)". The record is from RNAcentral. Lineage: Eukaryota; Viridiplantae; Streptophyta; Magnoliopsida; Malvales; Malvaceae.